ACGUCUACAUUAGAUACCCGUGUAGUCCCAGCCCUAAACGAUGCGCGUUAGGUGUAUCGGUGACCACGAGUCACCGAGGUGCCGAAGGGAAACCGUGAAACGUGCCGCCUGGGAAGUACGGUCGCAAGGCUGAAACUUAAAGGAAUUGGCGGGGGAGCACCGCAACGGGAGGAGCGUGCGGUUCAAUUGGAUUCAACGCCGGACAACUCACCAGGAGCGACGGUUACAUGAAGGCCAGGCCGAUGACCUUGCCUGAUUUUCCG
This 263-nucleotide ribosomal RNA is filed under the name uncultured archaeon. Its description in RNAcentral is "partial 16S ribosomal RNA". It matches the Rfam family "Archaeal small subunit ribosomal RNA", at positions 719 to 982 of the family's 1478-position model. The record is from RNAcentral.